RNAcentral lists this ribosomal RNA (468 nucleotides) under uncultured bacterium. RNAcentral's name for it is "partial 16S ribosomal RNA". It matches the Rfam family "Bacterial small subunit ribosomal RNA", at positions 28 to 507 of the family's 1533-position model. The record is from RNAcentral.
GACGAACGCUGGCGGCGUGCUAAACACAUGCAAGUCGAACGGAAAGGCCCUGCUUUUGUGGGGUGCUCGAGUGGCGAACGGGUGAGUAACACGUGAGUAACCUGCCCUUGACUUUGGGAUAACUUCAGGAAACUGGGGCUAAUACCGGAUAGGAGCUCCUGCUGCAUGGUGGGGGUUGGAAAGUUUCGGCGGUUGGGGAUGGACUCGCGGCUUAUCAGCUUGUUGGUGGGGUAGUGGCUUACCAAGGCUUUGACGGGUAGCCGGCCUGAGAGGGUGACCGGCCACAUUGGGACUGAGAGACGGCCCAGACUCCUACGGGAGGCAGCAGUGGGGAAUAUUGCACAAUGGGCGGAAGCCUGAUGCAGCAACGCCGCGUGCGGGAUGACGGCCUUCGGGUUGUAAACCGCUUUCGCCUGUGACGAAGCGUGAGUGACGGUAAUGGGUAAAGAAGCACCGGCUAACUACGUG